Long non-coding RNA from Vicia villosa (hairy vetch), 444 nucleotides. RefSeq lists it as uncharacterized. The transcript has 3 exons. The record is from RefSeq and is a predicted model, not a curated record. NCBI's taxonomy places the organism in Eukaryota, Viridiplantae, Streptophyta, Magnoliopsida, Fabales, Fabaceae.
UUUUGUUCUGCUGGAUGGCUUUGCAACCGGUGUGCAUUGUGUUGCUGAGAAGCCAAGAGGUUGUCGUUUGUUAGAUGAACAAUUCGAUUUGUUUGAAAGUCAAGAGUUAAUGACUCAACAAUUGAAAAAAUUGUACCCUACAAGAGAAAACAACAUGGCCUAGAGUCAAAGGAGGAGAGGAAAGAGAGAAAGGUAUUCGAUGAUCCUACAGAAUUGACACAAGAAGAUUUGUAUGAUUUGCGACUGUGUUGGGCAAAAUGUUUCUUUGAGUUAUAUAAAGAAUAACUUUAUGUUUCUCGUGGAUGCAUGUUGGUUUUUCAAGUGCGCGAAAGGACUUAAAUGGUUGGAUAUUUGUUGUGUUAUUAUUUUGUAGUAGUAAAUCGUGUGUAAACAUUUCUUAUCAUUUUGUACACUUGUGUAUCCUAGAUUAAUACUUUUGUAUAU